Molecule: ribosomal RNA, 252 nt
Filed under: uncultured bacterium
Lineage: Bacteria
Description: partial 16S ribosomal RNA
Rfam family: Bacterial small subunit ribosomal RNA
Source: RNAcentral
UACGGAGGAUGCGAGCGUUAUCCGGAUUUAUUGGGUUUAAAGGGUGCGUAGGCGGACUGUCAAGUCAGCGGUAAAAUUGAGAGGCUCAACCUCUUCCCGCCGUUGAAACUGGUGGUCUUGAGUGGAUGAGAAGUACGCGGAAUGCGUGGUGUAGCGGUGAAAUGCAUAGAUAUCACGCAGAACUCCGAUUGCGAAGGCAGCGUACCGGCAUCCAACUGACGCUGAGGCACGAAAGCGUGGAGAUCAAACAGG